RNAcentral lists this ribosomal RNA (417 nucleotides) under uncultured Hyphomicrobiales bacterium. RNAcentral's name for it is "bacterial SSU rRNA". It matches the Rfam family "Bacterial small subunit ribosomal RNA", at positions 982 to 1396 of the family's 1533-position model. Lineage: Bacteria; Pseudomonadati; Pseudomonadota; Alphaproteobacteria; Hyphomicrobiales. The record is from RNAcentral.
UGACAUCCCGAUCAGGAUUAUCAGAGAUGAUGAUUGUCGGUUCGGCCGGAUCGGUGACAGGUGCUGCAUGGCUGUCGUCACCUCGUGUCGUGAGAUGUUGGGUUAAGUCCCGCAACGAGCGCAACCCUCGCCCUUAGUUGCCAUCAUUAAGUUGGGCACUCUAAGGGGACUGCCGGUGAUAAGCCGAGAGGAAGGUGGGGAUGACGUCAAGUCCUCAUGGCCCUUACGGGCUGGGCUACACACGUGCUACAAUGGUGGUGACAGUGGGCAGCGAGACCGCGAGGUCGAGCUAAUCUCCAAAAGCCAUCUCAGUUCGGAUUGCACUCUGCAACUCGAGUGCAUGAAGUUGGAAUCGCUAGUAAUCGUGGAUCAGCAUGCCACGGUGAAUACGUUCCCGGGCCUUGUACACACCGCCCG